RNAcentral lists this ribosomal RNA (251 nucleotides) under uncultured prokaryote. RNAcentral describes it as "partial 16S rRNA". It matches the Rfam family "Bacterial small subunit ribosomal RNA", at positions 525 to 775 of the family's 1533-position model. The record is from RNAcentral.
ACGGAGGGUGCGAGCGUUAAUCGGAAUCACUGGGCGUAAAGCGCACGUAGGCGGUGUCGUAAGUCGGAUGUGAAAGCCCUCGGCUCAACCGGGGAACUGCAUUCGAUACUGCGAUGCUUGAGUGCCGGAGAGGGUGGCGGAAUUCCAGGUUUUAGGGGGAAAGCCGGAGAUAACUGGAGGGACACCAGUGGCGGAGGGGGCCACCUGGCCGGCAACUGGCGGUGGGGUGGGGAAGCGUUGGGAUCAAACAG